This 2223-nucleotide ribosomal RNA is filed under the name human gut metagenome. RNAcentral's name for it is "bacterial LSU rRNA". It matches the Rfam family "Bacterial large subunit ribosomal RNA", at positions 708 to 2925 of the family's 2925-position model. The record is from RNAcentral.
CGUAGACCCGAAACCAGAUGAUCUAUCCAUGGCCAGGCUGAAGGUGUGGUAACACACACUGGAGGGCCGAACCGACUAGUGUUGCAAAAUUAGCGGAUGAGCUGUGGAUAGGGGUGAAAGGCUAAACAAAUCUGGAGAUAGCUGGUUCUCCCCGAAAACUAUUGAGGUAGUGCCUCGUGUAUGGCUCCAGGGGGUAGAGCACUGUUAUGGCUAGGGGGACAUGGCGUCUUACCAAACCAUGGCAAACUCCGAAUACUUGGAAGUCUGAGCACGGGAGACAGAGCACCGGGUGCUAACGUCCGGACUCAAAAGGGAAACAACCCAGACCGCCGGCUAAGGUCCCUAAUAUUGACUAAGUGGAAAACGAAGUGGGAAGGCUAAGACAGUCAGGAAGUUGGCUUAGAAGCAGCCAUCCUUCAAAGAAAGCGUAAUAGCUCACUGAUCGAGUCUUCCUGCGCGGAAGAUGUAACGGGGCUAAGUCAAUAACCGAAGCCGCGGAUUCGCAGCAAUGCGAGUGGUAGGGGAGCGUUCUGUAAGCCUGCGAAGGCGGAUCCGCGAGGACCGCUGGAGGUAUCAGAAGUGCGAAUGCUGACAUGAGUAACGUUAAAGCGGGUGAAAAGCCCGCUCGCCGCAAGCCCAAGGUUUCCUGCUCUACGUUCAUCGGAGCAGGGUGAGUCGGCCCCUAAGGUCAGGCUGAGAAGCGUAGCUGAUGGGAAGCUGGUUAAUAUUCCAGCACCGAUUUCAAGUGCGAAGGGGGGACGGAGUCCUGAAGGUCAUCCGGGUGUUGGAUAUCCCGGUUUACGAGCGUAGGAGGUUGACAGGCAAAUCCGUCAACGAAUCUCCAAGGCGAAGGAUCGAGGUUGAGAGAUCAACUGAAGUGACUGAAUGGGCUUCCAGGAAAAGCCUCUAAGCAUCAGCUUGGAAUUGACCGUACCGCAAACCGACACUGGUGGGCGAGCUGAAUAUGCUCAGGCGCUUGAGAGAACUCAGGAGAAGGAACUCGGCAAAUUGACACCGUAACUUCGGGAUAAGGUGUGCCUUUGUAGUGUGAAGAGAGAAACACUCCGAGCAUGAAGAGGCCUCAGAGAAUCGGUGGCUGCAACUGUUUACUAAAAACACAGCACUCUGCAAAGAUGAAAGUCGACGUAUAGGGUGUGAUGCCUGCCCGGUGCUGGAAGAUUAAUUGAUGGGGUGCAAGCUCCUGAUCGAAGUCCCAGUAAACGGCGGCCGUAACUAUAACGGUCCUAAGGUAGCGAAAUUCCUUGUCGGGCAAGUUCCGACCUGCACGAAUGGCAUAAUGAUGGCCACACUGUCUCCUCCUGAGACUCAGUGAAGUUGAAAUGUUUGUGAUGAUGCAAUCUCCCCGCGGCUAGACGGAAAGACCCCAUGAACCUUUACUGCAGCUUUGCAUUGGACUUUGAACCGAUCUGUGUAGGAUAGGUGGGAGGCAGUGAAGCUAGGACGCCAGUCUUAGCGGAGCCAACCUUGAAAUACCACCCUGAUUUGUUUGAGGUUCUAACCUAGGAGCGUAAUCCGCUUCGGGGACCGUGCAUGGUAGGCAGUUUGACUGGGGCGGUCUCCUCCUAAAGGGUAACGGAGGAGUGCGAAGGUACGCUAGGUACGGUCGGAAAUCGUGCUGAUAGUGCAAUGGCAAAAGCGUGCUUGACUGCGAGACCGACAAGUCGAGCAGAUACGAAAGUAGGUCAUAGUGAUCCGGUGGCUCUGCAUGGAAGGGCCAUCGCUCAACGGAUAAAAGGUACUCUGGGGAUAACAGGCUGAUACCGCCCAAGAGUUCAUAUCGACGGCGGUGUUUGGCACCUCGAUGUCGGCUCAUCUCAUCCUGGGGCUGUAGCCGGUCCCAAGGGUAUGGCUGUUCGCCAUUUAAAGAGGUACGUGAGCUGGGUUUAAAACGUCGUGAGACAGUUUUGUCCCUAUCUGCCGUGGGCGUUGGAAGAUUGACGGGGGCUGCUCCUAGUACGAGAGGACCGGAGUGGACUCACCUCUGGUGUACCGGUUGUCACGCCAGUGGCAUCGCCGGGUAGCUAUGUGGGGAAAGGAUAACCGCUGAAAGCAUCUAAGCGGGAAACCUGCCUGAAGAUAAGUCUUCCUGGAGGCUUUGACCUCCCUGAAGAGUCGUUCGAGACCAGGACGUUGAUAGGUUGGAUGUGCAAGCGCUGUGAGGCGUUGAGCUGACCAAUACUAAUUGCUCGUGAAGCUUGAUCC